CGGGUGGUAAUGCCGGAUGUUCCACAUGAUCGCAUGUGAUUGUGGGAAAGAUUCUAUCGGCGUGGGAUGGGGUCGCGUCCUAUCAGCUUGUUGGUGAGGUAACGGCUCACCAAGGCUUCGACGGGUAGCCGGCCUGAGAGGGCGACCGGCCACAUUGGGACUGAGAUACGGCCCAGACUCCUACGGGAGGCAGCAGUGGGGAAUAUUGCACAAUGGGCGCAAGCCUGAUGCAGCGACGCCGCGUGAGGGAUGGAGGCCUUCGGGUUGUAAACCUCUUUUGUUUGGGAGCAAGCCUUCGGGUGAGUGUACCUUUCGAAUAAGCGCCGGCUAACUACGUGCCAGCAGCCGCGGUAAUACGUAGGGCGCAAGCGUUAUCCGGAUUUAUUGGGCGUAAAGGGCUCGUAGGCGGCUCGUCGCGUCCGGUGUGAAAGUCCAUCGCUUAACGGUGGAUCUGCGCCGGGUACGGGCGGGCUGGAGUGCGGUAGGGGAGACUGGAAUUCCCGGUGUAACGGUGGAAUGUGUAGAUAUCGGAAAAGAAACACCA
Molecule: ribosomal RNA, 544 nt
Filed under: Bifidobacterium bifidum
Lineage: Bacteria; Bacillati; Actinomycetota; Actinomycetes; Bifidobacteriales; Bifidobacteriaceae
Description: bacterial SSU rRNA
Rfam family: Bacterial small subunit ribosomal RNA
Source: RNAcentral